UACAUGGAAAAAAAAUCACGGUCAUCAAUUAGGUGGCGAUAUGCACUAAGCAUGUAAACAACUAAUGAAUAAAAGAAGAAGAAAGAAACAGCUUGGCGCGCUUUUUCUUAGCGUCCGUUUCCAUAGUGACUCGUCGAUUCGUCGCUCUGUUGAGAAUGUCUUGAGUCUUAACCAGGAACAUACUCUGAGUUGAAUGAACUUACUCCCGGACGCAUUUUUGGAACCACAUACCUCGAGAAAGAGUGGAUGAACUUAAUAAAGAUCCAGUCUGCGUCAGUAGGAACUUGGUCCUUUCGUCACUUUGCUGAUUUACAAACAAGCCACAAUUCAUCGUGGGAUUUUCAGAAAGAUUAAAAGACGAUGUUGUGCCGACUAUAUCCAACAAUAAUGUCGCAAUACACAAGUAUGUGUGAUGGAGUUUGAAUCAAUGGAUUAUCUGUUGCUGUUGUCAUCCUUGGUGUUUGUUCAAGUCUUGGCAGUCUCAUCAAAACCUUUUAAGAGUCCUUAGAGUGCAUAAAAAAACAACCGCAUAUGGGGAAAAGUUCACGAACAUGGUUUAUUAAUGCAUUAAACUGUCUGGGGUCAAAUCCCCGAUUUGUUCUCAUUGUGAUGACAGGAAGAGUG
This is a long non-coding RNA of Cyprinus carpio carpio, 624 nucleotides long. The record is from Ensembl. NCBI's taxonomy places the organism in Eukaryota, Metazoa, Chordata, Actinopteri, Cypriniformes, Cyprinidae.